GACGAAGGUGGCGAGCGUUGUUCGGAAUCACUGGGCAUAAAGCGCACGUAGGCGGUCCGUUAUGUCGGACGUGAAAGCCCUCGGCUCAACCGAGGAAGUGCAUCCGAAACUGGCGGGCUAGAGUACGAAAGAGGGUCGCGGAAUUCCCGGUGUAGAGGUGAAAUUCGUAGAUAUCGGGAGGAACACCGGUGGCGAAGGCGGCGAUCUGGGUCGAUACUGACGCUGAGGUGCGAAAGCGUGGGGAGCAAACAGG
This 253-nucleotide ribosomal RNA is filed under the name uncultured bacterium. Its description in RNAcentral is "partial 16S ribosomal RNA". It matches the Rfam family "Bacterial small subunit ribosomal RNA", at positions 524 to 776 of the family's 1533-position model. The record is from RNAcentral.